AGAUAUUUUUCUUCUCUUUUCUCACUGCUCUUUCUGUUUCUCUUCAUUUCUUUUCUUUUAUGAUUUUUUUCAGUGCUCUCUUCCCCUCUCUCUCAGACUUGCAUCAGAUUACAUGACUGUAAAAUAUCACAGAUAACACAGACUUUUCUUCACUCUUCUUUUUAUUUUUCUUUUCAGAACACUCAUUUUUUCUCUUUUUCUUUUGUCUAUCUCAUCUAUCUUUCUUCUAUUGUUAGAAGUGCAGACAGUUCUCAGAUCAACUGAAAGAGUUAUCUCUCUUCAUUCACUAUAAAGUCUUUCAGACACAGCAGCAGCAAUUCUCUCAGAAAUCACACUAUAGCUUCAUCAUGAAUAGUUAUACAUUGAG
This 367-nucleotide small RNA is filed under the name Histoplasma ohiense. RNAcentral describes it as "hypothetical lncRNA". Lineage: Eukaryota; Fungi; Ascomycota; Eurotiomycetes; Onygenales; Ajellomycetaceae. The record is from RNAcentral.